This 396-nucleotide ribosomal RNA is filed under the name uncultured bacterium. RNAcentral describes it as "partial 16S ribosomal RNA". It matches the Rfam family "Bacterial small subunit ribosomal RNA", at positions 523 to 918 of the family's 1533-position model. The record is from RNAcentral.
AUACGGAGGGUGCAAGCGUUAAUCGGAAUUACUGGGCGUAAAGCGCACGCAGGCGGUUUGUUAAGUCAGAUGUGAAAUCCCCGGGCUCAACCUGGGAACUGCAUCUGAUACUGGCAAGCUUGAGUCUCGUAGAGGGGGGUAGAAUUCCAGGUGUAGCGGUGAAAUGCGAAGAGAUCUGGAGGAAUACCGGUGGCGAAGGCGGCCCCCGGACCGAAGACUGACGCACAGGUGCGAAAGCGUGGGGAGCAAACAGGAUUAGAUACCCUGGUAGUCCACGCCGUAAACGAUGUCGACUUGGAGGUUGUGCCCUUGAGGCGUGGCUUCCGGAGCUAACGCGUUAAGUCGACCGCCUGGGGAGUACGGCCGCAAGGUUAAAACUCAAAGGAAUUGACGGGG